RNAcentral lists this small RNA (21 nucleotides) under Arabidopsis thaliana (thale cress). RNAcentral's name for it is "Ath_wt_08352". Lineage: Eukaryota; Viridiplantae; Streptophyta; Magnoliopsida; Brassicales; Brassicaceae. The record is from RNAcentral.
CCGGUCGUACUCAUAACCGCA